UACGGAGGGAGCUAGCGUUGUUCGGAAUUACUGGGCGUAAAGCGCACGUAGGCGGCUUUGUAAGUUAGAGGUGAAAGCCUGGGGCUCAACCCCGGAAUUGCCUUUAAGACUGCAUCGCUUGAAUCCAGGAGAGGUGAGUGGAAUUCCGAGUGUAGAGGUGAAAUUCGUAGAUAUUCGGAAGAACACCAGUGGCGAAGGCGGCUCACUGGACUGGUAUUGACGCUAAGGUGCGAAAGCAUGGGGAGCAAACAGG
RNAcentral lists this ribosomal RNA (253 nucleotides) under uncultured bacterium. Its description in RNAcentral is "partial 16S ribosomal RNA". It matches the Rfam family "Bacterial small subunit ribosomal RNA", at positions 524 to 776 of the family's 1533-position model. The record is from RNAcentral.